UGGACGACCGACGUGCCCGGAUGCCCCGCAACCCCAGCCGCCUCAGUCCUUCCCGGGAGGCCUCUGAGCUCGCGCUCUCGCGAGACCCCUGAGCGGUGGUCUCCUCCUUUGGCCAGGAGGUUCCCACCUAGCAGAGCCCCGCACAGAACCACAGCAAAAGCGCUGAGGCGACUAGUUCGCCUCACAAUGCAGCCCGCUUUCUUCGGAGCGACGGACACUCUCGCAGUAAGAGCCCCAGGGGAAGAUGGUGCACUGCUGCUCUUCUGGAGAAGCUUACUGCACUGGCUUCCCUGAUGGGAACUUGGCCAUCUUGAUCAUGGGAGGAGCUUGGGACCUCACUGUUGCUGAGGAUGACUGUAGUACCUUUUGGUAAGAGCUCUGGUUCUUCUGAGCAUCGCUUCCUCAUUCCAGUGCAGAUCCCUCAGCCUGCUUGCACAGAUCCUUCAUCGUGCUGGCACAGACUUUCUAGAUUUCAC
RNAcentral lists this long non-coding RNA (476 nucleotides) under Chinchilla lanigera (long-tailed chinchilla). RNAcentral describes it as "lncRNA (ENSCLAG00000025656.1)". Lineage: Eukaryota; Metazoa; Chordata; Mammalia; Rodentia; Chinchillidae. The record is from RNAcentral.